AAAACAUCGCCUUUUGAGCCCUAUAAGAGGUAUUGCCUGCCCAGUGACUAUAUGUUUAACGGCCGUGGUAUUUUGACCACGCAAAGGUAGCGUAAUCACUUGUUUUUUAAAUAAAGACUAGUAUGAAUGGCUUCACGAGAACUCAGCUGUCUCCUUUGUUUAAUCAGUGAAACUGAUCCCCUCGUGCAGAAGCGAGGAUAAUAUCAUAAGACGAGAAGACCCUAUGGAGCUUUAAACCCAAAUCAACAAGUUACUUUCCUUUAGAACUUAAUAUUAAUUUAACUUGCUCGACUAAGGUUUUAGGUUGGGGCGACCAUGGAGAAAAAACAAUCCUCCACGAUGAUUUUUAACUAAGAGCCACAGCUCUAAGUAUUAAGACACUUAACUUACAUUGACCCAUUUUUUGAUCAACGAACCAAGUUACCCUAGGGAUAACAGCGCAAUCCAUUUUAAGAGUCCCUAUCGACAAAUGGGUUUACGACCUCGAUGUUGGAUCAGGGCACCCCAGUGGUGCAACCGCUACUAAAGGUUCGUUUGUUCAACGAUUAAAGCCCUAC
Molecule: ribosomal RNA, 557 nt
Filed under: Megophrys gerti
Lineage: Eukaryota; Metazoa; Chordata; Amphibia; Anura; Megophryidae
Description: partial 16S ribosomal RNA
Rfam family: Bacterial large subunit ribosomal RNA
Source: RNAcentral